Molecule: ribosomal RNA, 305 nt
Filed under: uncultured bacterium
Lineage: Bacteria
Description: bacterial SSU rRNA
Rfam family: Bacterial small subunit ribosomal RNA
Source: RNAcentral
GAGGCCUACGGGGCGCAGCAGUAGGGAAUCUUCCACAAUGGGCGAAAGCCUGAUAGAGCAACGCCGCGCGGGUGAAGAAGGUCUUCGGAUCGUAAAACCCUGUUGUUAGAGAAGAAAGUGCGUGAGAGUAACUGUUCACGUUUCGACGGUAUCUAACCAGAAAGCCACGGCUAACUACGUGCCAGCAGCCGCGGUAAUACGUAGGUGGCAAGCGUUAUCCGGAUUUAUUGGGCGUAAAGGGAACGCAGGCGGUCUUUUAAGUCUGAGGUGAAAGCCUUCAGCUUAACCGGAGUAGUGCAUUGGGA